GGGGCUGUAGCUCAGCUGGGAGAGCAUCGGCUUUGCAAGCCGAGGGUCGUCGGUUCGAUCCCGACCAGCUCCACCA
This 76-nucleotide transfer RNA is filed under the name Azoarcus indigens. RNAcentral's name for it is "tRNA-Ala". It matches the Rfam family "tRNA". From Rfam's summary of the family: Transfer RNA (tRNA) molecules are approximately 80 nucleotides in length. Their secondary structure includes four short double-helical elements and three loops (D, anti-codon, and T loops). Lineage: Bacteria; Pseudomonadati; Pseudomonadota; Betaproteobacteria; Rhodocyclales; Zoogloeaceae. RNAcentral also lists the same sequence under 11 other names. The record is from RNAcentral.